AUAAUUCUGGCCUACAAGCAGAGCUGUGAAAAGCACGUGAAACCAAACCCAAAGGCUCUUGAUCAAUUAAAGCAAAUUACUUGUGUUACUGACAGAGCCAGGUGUUUUGACCUGUCAGGUGAGCAGUUAGAUUAUUGCUCCUGUGAAUCUCUUGAAGAGAUCCUGAAAUCAGUCCAAUUUGAUUUUAUCAGUGUGCAGGGGGCUGAGCUUGAGGAAAAUGUAAGUAUAUGAACAUUUGCAUUUAAGGCUGUUUUCAAACUUUGGUUCAAUUGCUGGGUCACGUGAAUUUUCAAGUUUUAUGAACUGC
Long non-coding RNA from Carassius auratus (goldfish), 307 nucleotides. RefSeq lists it as uncharacterized. The record is from RefSeq and is a predicted model, not a curated record. The transcript is spliced from 3 exons. Lineage: Eukaryota; Metazoa; Chordata; Actinopteri; Cypriniformes; Cyprinidae.